RNAcentral lists this ribosomal RNA (464 nucleotides) under Vreelandella stevensii. RNAcentral's name for it is "partial 16S ribosomal RNA". It matches the Rfam family "Bacterial small subunit ribosomal RNA", at positions 338 to 795 of the family's 1533-position model. The record is from RNAcentral. Lineage: Bacteria; Pseudomonadati; Pseudomonadota; Gammaproteobacteria; Oceanospirillales; Halomonadaceae.
CCUACGGGAGGCUGCAGUGGGGAAUAUUGGACAAUGGCGAAAGCCUGAUCCAGCCAUGCCGCGUGUGUGAAGAAGGCCUUCGGGUUGUAAAGCACUUUCAGUGGGGAAGAAAGCCUUGGGGCUAAUACCCUCGAGGAAGGACAUCACCCACAGAAGAAGCACCGGCUAACUCCGUGCCAGCAGCCGCGGUAAUACGGAGGGUGCGAGCGUUAAUCGGAAUUACUGGGCGUAAAGCGCGCGUAGGCGGUCUGAUAAGCCGGUUGUGAAAGCCCCGGGCUCAACCUGGGAACGGCAUCCGGAACUGUCAGGCUAGAGUGCAGGAGAGGAAGGUAGAAUUCCCGGUGUAGCGGUGAAAUGCGUAGAGAUCGGGAGGAAUACCAGUGGCGAAGGCGGCCUUCUGGACUGACACUGACGCUGAGGUGCGAAAGCGUGGGUAGCAAACAGGAUUAGAUACCCCGGUAGUC